AUGGAAAAUAUGGCAGACGAAAACCCAGAGGUUGACGACGAAGUGAUUGUGGAAUUGCUAUUAAAGGAAAUUACCGAAUUGGUUAUUGACCAAGGACUAUUGUCUGGCAAGGCUUUAAAAGAAGAUCGAGUCACUAACUUUGUCCAUCCAGAAAAACUUAAGAAGUUGGUAGAUCUAUCGCUAGGUGACUCUCCUCUGAGUCACGGUGAAAUAUUUGAAUUGUGUAAACGAGCUGUCGAGUACAGUGUACGUACCAAUCAUCCAAAAUUUCUGAAUCAACUGUAUCAUGGAGCGGACCCUGUUGGACUUGCAGGAGCUUGGCUUUCUGAAGCUCUUAAUACAAAUUUAUACACAUAUGAAGUAGCACCAUUUUUUAUGAUGGUUGAACAUGAAGUCCUGGCUCAUCUUAGAAGUUUCAUUGGAUGGGAAGAUGGUGAUGGAAUAUUUACUCCAGGAGGGAGUUUGGCCAACAUGUAUGGAAUGGUUCUUGCCCGUUUCAACAAGUUCCCUGAAGUGAAGACCAAAGGAAUGGGCAACAUAGGAGAACUUGUGGCCUUUACAUCACAGGAGGGCCAUUAUUCUAUCCUUAAAGCUGCCCAUUGGAUUGGUUUAGGAACUGAUAAUCUCGUCAUGGUAGCCUCUGAUAGUUCUGGCAGAAUGAUUCCUGCUGAAUUGGAAAAUAAGAUUGUAAAGGCUCUGGAACAGAAAAAAGUGCCAUAUUUUGUCAAUGCGACAGCCGGAACCACUGUUUUUGGAGCUUUUGACCCUUUAGAGCCCUUAGCUUUUAUAUGUAAAAAAUACGAUCUCUGGCUUCACGUCGAUGCUGCUUGGGGAGGAGGCGCUCUGGUCUCCCAAAAACAUCGUUCCUUAAUGCAAGGCAUAGAAAUGGUCGACUCUGUGGCUUGGAAUCUCCACAAAAUGUUAGGAGCUCCAUUGCAAUGCUCAGCUUUUUUGACGAAACAUACGAAUGUUUUUCAUCGAUGCAAUAGUGCUUCGGCCACGUAUCUUUUCCAAACAGACAAGUAUUAUGAUAUGCGUUAUGAUACGGGUGAUAAAAGCAUCCAGUGUGGCCGAAAAGUUGAUGCUUUCAAAUUGUGGUUAAUGUGGAAGGCUCGAGGGAACAGAGGUCUGGAGAAAAUGGUACUUCACACGUCAGCUCUCCCUCCGGCCAGGAUUUCGACUAGUCAUUGCGGAACCUAGCUGUACGAAUGUUUGUUUUUGGUACAUUCCGCCCAGGUGGAGAAACUUGCCAGAGUCGCCAGAAUGGUGGGGAAAACUUUCUAAGGUUGCACCUGCAAUAAAGAAACGAAUGGUGGAGAAAGGAUCUCUCAUGGUCAGCUACCAACCCUUAGUCCACAAGAACAUGGUAAACUUUUUCCGUUUAGCUCUUCAUUGUCAGCCGCCCCCUACCCACGAAGAUAUGGAUU
RNAcentral lists this unclassified non-coding RNA (1427 nucleotides) under Daphnia magna. RNAcentral's name for it is "cysteine sulfinic acid decarboxylase, transcript variant X1". The record is from RNAcentral. Lineage: Eukaryota; Metazoa; Arthropoda; Branchiopoda; Diplostraca; Daphniidae.